RNAcentral lists this transfer RNA (67 nucleotides) under Marmota monax (woodchuck). Its description in RNAcentral is "tRNA.Ala". The record is from RNAcentral. Lineage: Eukaryota; Metazoa; Chordata; Mammalia; Rodentia; Sciuridae.
GGUAAUGGCUCAGUGGUAGAGUGUUCGCCGAGCAUGUGCAAGGCCCUGUGUUCGAUCCUCAGCACCA